AUUGAACGCUGGCGGCAUGCUUUACACAUGCAAGUCGAACGGCAGCGGGGAGGAGCUUGCUUCUCUGCCGGCGAGUGGCGCACGGGUGAGUCAUACGUCUGAACGUCUCGAGAAGAGGGGGAUACCCACCCGAAAGGGUGGCUAAUACCGCAUAAAUUCUGAGGCAGAAAGCUGGGGACCUAGGAAUAGGCCUAGCGCUUCUUGUGCGGCCGUCGUCGCAUUAGCUAGUUGGUGAGGUAAAGGCUUACCAAGGCGAAGAUCUGUAGCGGGUCUGAGAGGAUGAUCGGCCACACUGGAACUGAGACACGGCCCAGACUCCUACGGGAGGCAGCAGUGGGGAAUUUUGGACAAUGGGCGCAACCCUGAUCCAGCCAUGCCGCGUGUAUGAAGAAGGCCUUAGGGUUGUAAAGUACUUUUGUUAGGGAAGAACAGUCAGCUGUGAAUAAUGGCUGAUACUGACGGUACCUAAUGAAUAAGCACCGGCUAACUACGUG
This 494-nucleotide ribosomal RNA is filed under the name uncultured bacterium. RNAcentral describes it as "partial 16S ribosomal RNA". It matches the Rfam family "Bacterial small subunit ribosomal RNA", at positions 30 to 507 of the family's 1533-position model. The record is from RNAcentral.